This is a long non-coding RNA of Lathyrus oleraceus (garden pea), 2682 nucleotides long. RefSeq lists it as uncharacterized. Lineage: Eukaryota; Viridiplantae; Streptophyta; Magnoliopsida; Fabales; Fabaceae. The transcript is spliced from 3 exons. The record is from RefSeq and is a predicted model, not a curated record.
AUAACAUUGCUAAAUUUUUUUUGAAAAAAGAGGGAGGCUGUCUUCAACCUCGCACCCCUCUCCUGCUCAGGUAACCUUCUCACCACCUCACACCGCCGCCUCUCAAACAUCCUCCACCUCUUCUCCACCUCCAACGACCACCACCAAACCACCACCAGUCAGAUCCGCCUCACUUCAGAAAACCGACGCACUCCUUUCCAUCUCUCUUUCCGCACCACCAACUCCAUCGACCUCCACUCUUCCACUAUCUCAUUCCGCCGGCGAAGCAUCAACAAUCUCACAACAUCACUGACCUAAUCGACCUCCUCCUCUCUCAAACGGUCACCGCAUCCGCUCCUCAAACCUCUCAAUUUAACCACCUUCACAAACCGGCCGCCUUUCACUUCAACUUUCGGUCGCACCAAUCUUCAAACCACCGCGUCUCUUUCGCUCAGCAACAAUAUCACCGCCAUGCGCUCAGAACUGCGCCACAGGUAGCGGUUGAGUUUGUCGACUAUAUUUCUCUUGUCUUUUACGUCAGUUCAAUUAAGUAUCAACAGUUGAUUCGGUGCUUUAGGUAUGUGAUUAUGCUUCAAUAAGUUUCAAAAGUUUUUUGAUUAUCAUUUUUGCAUAUGUGGUUAUGAUAUCUAAUUGUGUUGGUUUGUUUUGAAUUAGGAAUCAAUUUUGGUUUAGUUGUAAAUUUCAUAUGUGUAUGAAUCUGGUCGCACGGUUUUGGUUUCGUUUCUGCAUUUGUAUAUGGCAUUUAGAUCCAAAGCUUUGUUGUUGAUAUGCUUUGAUUUUUGGUUGUUGCCUUGUUUAAAUCGGAUCCAAAUGUAUAACGCGCGUUCGACGUUGCUUGUGUGCUGUCUGUUUGAUUGUGCACUUUCGUGCGUCGAUAUGCCGCGUUGUGUUAUGUUAUGCCACUAGUUAAUUCAAUUUUGCGAUAACUCAAUUCGCGCCUUAAUUCAAUUGGUGUGCAUUAACUCAAUUUGCGACCUCAUGUUAGGAUAUUGUGACCUCGGGUUAGGAUAUGCGACCUUGCGUUAGAAUAUGCGACCUAAUUCAAUUCACGUGCAUUAAAUUAAUUCGCUACCUCCUGUUAUCUCAAUUUGUGAACUGUGUUAGAAUUCGCUACCUGUGUUACUCUGCGAUGGAAUAUGCGUGUUAAAUUAAUUCGCGACCUCGUGUUAUCUCAAUUUGUGAACUCGCGUUAGAAUUCGCGACCUCACGUUACAAUUUGCACACUUAUGCUACUUUUUGUUAUUUUACGUUUUGAUUUAAUCAGAUUCAAAAUAUUUUUACAAUUAAAUCGGGUGAAAAAGAUUAAUUAGGCCUCUUUCUUCCCCGAGUAAUCGACUCACCCGAGUUUGAUUGCGAUGAUCAUAUUUUUUUUUGUUCUUUUAGAGUUUUAUUCAUGUUUUACCUUUAAAAAUAAACUUCAGGGGCCACUCUGUUGUUAUUUUGAGUGUUUGCAUGCUUGGGUCUUUUUUCCUACCGCUGAAGGGAAAUUUUAAAUUUUUAAAGGUUAUGCAGGCUUAUAUAACGGUGUUGGGUAGCAGAUCCCGUUGAUAGACAUUUAUUCGCAUUUCCCAAUUUAAGAUUGCAAGUUGUUACAACUAUUUUGUUCUUAAACUGUUCCUAUCAUAUUCUAUUUUAGAUCCCUCUUACAUUAGAGGCUCAUAUAUCUUUGUGGCUGCGGCGUAGAGUCUGCAGUGGAACUUUAACAUUCAGACACCUACAUUUUCGUUGCUGUCGUCACGAUCUUCAUGUAAGUUCUUCAUGAUGGGUGACCCAUUGAAUUCGAUUAGGUGUCAAACAAUAUUUUACUUAGUAGAGUUCCUUAGCGCUCGGACAUGAAAGUUCUGGCUCUACUAUUCCGAUAGCCGGUGAGUUAGUAAGGUUCUUAUGACUCUUUUUAAAUUCUCUCUAGUAUGUAAGUUCGGUGGUGUAGCGCCAACAUCAACAAAAAAAUACCUCUUAGUCUAAGAGCUUCGAGAAUGUCUAAUUAAUAAGGAAUUAGACAUUUUCGAACCUCUUAGUCUGAGAGGUAUUUUUCCCAUUGAUGUUAGUCGUACAUCACCGAACUUAUAUUCUAGAGCCAAAAUUUUCAUGUCAUGGCAAUAGAAAGCUCUACUAAGUAAAAUAUUGUUUGGCACCAAAUGGAAUUCAGUGGGUUCCCUAUGAUAGGGAACCUGCCGGGGAUCGUUUCAAUUCUUGACCAAAUGUUGGCGUCCGAAUGUUAAAGUUUCGUUGCGGAAUCCACGCCGUGGUCAUUAUCUGACUAGUCAAUUACUACGAUUCUUCUAAUUGUAACUUUAGUUUGUUUGGUAACAUGCCAAGAGUAUGAUGGUGCUACGAAGGAGAAGAAAUUGCCAUGACAAUGUUUUCAGGGUACAGAUGGGAGCAUGAGUACCUUCAUUGCCCCCUUCAUAUGUCCAUGGUACAGCUCAAAAGACCCAGGUGCCAUAAAAUGGAGUCUUCCAAUUUAAAAACCUCUUUGACGUGGAGCCCAUCGAUGCUCGCUUUCUUUCCAUACAUACUUUAUUGGGAACCUCUUUGACGUGGAGCCCAUCGAUGCUCGCUUUCUUUCCAUACAUAAUUUAUUGGGAACUCGUUGUAUGUAUUUUGUGCUUCAGACAUAUUAUUUGUUAGCAUCCAGCCAUGCCAAAAAUUUGGUGCUCUCAAUAUAUGGUUUAUUUACAA